This 494-nucleotide ribosomal RNA is filed under the name uncultured bacterium. RNAcentral describes it as "partial 16S ribosomal RNA". It matches the Rfam family "Bacterial small subunit ribosomal RNA", at positions 28 to 507 of the family's 1533-position model. The record is from RNAcentral.
GACGAACGCUGGCGGCGUGCUUAACACAUGCAAGUCGAACGGAAAGGCCUGCUUUCCCUUGUGGAUUGCGGGUACUCGAGUGGCGAACGGGUGAGUAACACGUGAGUGAUCUGCCCCCAACUCGGGUAUAAGCCUGGGAAACUGGGUCUAAUUCCCGAUAGGACUGCAGGGUGGUGCCUGUGGUGGGAAACGGUUUUCUAGUGGUUGGGGAUGAGCUCGUGGCCUAUGAGCUUGGUGGUGGGGUAAUGGUCUACCAAGGCGGCGACGGGUAGCCGGCCUGAGAGGGUGGACGGCAGCAUGGGGACUGGGACACGGGCCAGACGACUACGGGAGGCAGCAGUGGGGAAGAGUGCACGAGGGGCAGAAGCCAGAUGCAGGGACGCCGCGUGGGGGAUGACGGCCUUCGGGUUGGAAACUCCUUUCGACCGCGAGGAAGCCACCUGGUUGGAAGGGUGGUGACGGUAGUGGUAGAAGAAGCACCGGCUAACUACGUG